GUUUUCGCCCCUUAGUUGCUGCAACUAACGCAUUAAGCACUCCGCCUGGGGAGUACGGGUCGGCAGACUGAAACUUCAAAAGGAAUUGUACGGGGGCCCGCACCAGCGGUUGGAGCAUGUGGUUUAAUUCGAAGCAACGCGGGAGGGGGCUUACCAGGUCUUGACAUCCUCUGACAACCUAGAGAUAGGGCUUUUCCUUCGGGGACAGAGUGACAGGUGGUGCAUGGUUGUCGUCAGCUCGUGUCGUGAGAUGUUGGGUUAAGUCCCGCAACGAGCGCAACCCUUGAUCUUAGUUGCCAGCAUUUAGUUGGGCACUCUAAGGUGACUGCCGGUGACAAACCGGAGGAAGGUGGGGAUGACGUCAAAUCAUCAUGCCCCUUAUGACCUGGGCUACACACGUGCUACAAUGGACAGAACAAAGGGCUGCAAGCCGCAAGGUUUAGCCAAUCCCAUAAAUCUGUUCUCAGUUCGGAUCGCAGUCUGCAACUCGACUGCGUGAAGCUGGAAUCGCUAGUAAUCGCGGAUCAGCAUGCCGCGGUGAAUACGUUCCCGGGCCUUGUACACCCGCCCGUCACACCACGAGAGUUUGCAACACCCGAAGUC
RNAcentral lists this ribosomal RNA (603 nucleotides) under Bacillus pumilus. Its description in RNAcentral is "bacterial SSU rRNA". It matches the Rfam family "Bacterial small subunit ribosomal RNA", at positions 829 to 1428 of the family's 1533-position model. Lineage: Bacteria; Bacillati; Bacillota; Bacilli; Caryophanales; Bacillaceae. The record is from RNAcentral.